AUCACUUCUUGGCCUUUUGGCUAAGAUCAAGUGUAAUACACGGCAUGUGCUCAGUAUAUAGAAACCAUUAUCACUAAAAAUUUUGUUCAUUCAUACUUGGCUAUGACGUGUUUAUGUGUUUAUUAUUUUUCCUAUAAUCAUAAUUACC
RNAcentral lists this small nuclear RNA (148 nucleotides) under Canis lupus familiaris (dog). RNAcentral's name for it is "U2 spliceosomal RNA (multiple genes)". It matches the Rfam family "U2 spliceosomal RNA". From Rfam's summary of the family: U2 is a small nuclear RNA (snRNA) component of the spliceosome (involved in pre-mRNA splicing). Lineage: Eukaryota; Metazoa; Chordata; Mammalia; Carnivora; Canidae. The record is from Rfam by way of RNAcentral. RNAcentral also lists the same sequence under 1 other name.